UAGGGAAUCUUCGGCAAUGGGGGCAACCCUGACCGAGCAACGCCGCGUGAGUGAAGAAGGUUUUCGGAUCGUAAAGCUCUGUUGUAAGUCAAGAACGAGUGUGAGAGUGGAAAGUUCACACUGUGACGGUAUCUUACCAGAAAGGGACGGCUAACUACGUGCCAGCAGCCGCGGUAAUACGUAGGUCCCGAGCGUUGUCCGGAUUUAUUGGGCGUAAAGCGAGCGCAGGCGGUUAGAUAAGUCUGAAGUUAAAGGCUGUGGCUUAACCAUAGUACGCUUUGGAAACUGUUUAACUUGAGUGCAAGAGGGGAGAGUGGAAUUCCAUGUGUAGCGGUGAAAUGCGUAGAUAUAUGGAGGAACACCGGUGGCGAAAGCGGCUCUCUGGCUUGUAACUGACGCUGAGGCUCGAAAGCGUGGGGAGCGAACAGGAUUAGAUACCCUGGUAGUCCACGCCGUAAACGAUGAGUGCUAGGUGUUGGAUCCUUUCCGGGAUUCAGUGCCGCAGCUAACGCAUUAAGCACUCCGCCUGGGGAGUACGACCGCAAGGUUG
This 550-nucleotide ribosomal RNA is filed under the name uncultured bacterium. RNAcentral describes it as "bacterial SSU rRNA". It matches the Rfam family "Bacterial small subunit ribosomal RNA", at positions 355 to 896 of the family's 1533-position model. The record is from RNAcentral.